AUGUGUGUUCCAAAGAAUAAAGGUGGUAUGGAAUUUAGAGACCUACACAGCUUUAACCUUGCUAUGUUAGCAAAGCAGUGUUGGCGACCUCUCCAAAGACCUGAUUCUCUGUGUGCACGAGUAUUGAAAGCAAAGUAUUACCCCAAUGGUGAUAUAUUGAGUGCUCGACCAAAGAAGGGUUCAUUGUUUACAUGGUAGAGUAUCAUUACAGGUAUCCAAACUUUAAAGAGAGGGUGCAUUUGGCAUGUUGGUUUGGGACCACAUAUUAACAUUUGGGAUGAUACUUGGAUUCAUGCUAGUGAGUCAAGGAAAAUUAUUACCCCAAGAGGAGGAACAAUGAUGUCCAAAGUGGAGGAAUUAAUCGAUCCGCAUACGGGUCAGUGGGAUGAUGAACUCCUAUGUGACAUCUUUCUACCUGUUGAUGUGUACAGAAUAUCCUGGAAGCCACUUUGCUCGUUCAGACUAUCCCAAAAGGUCCCAAAUCAACCCAAUUUGGAAGGACUUAUGACAAUUGAGAAUCCAGUGGAAGAUAAAGCACUUUGGAUGCUUUAG
RNAcentral lists this ribosomal RNA (552 nucleotides) under Triticum aestivum (bread wheat). RNAcentral's name for it is "partial small subunit ribosomal RNA". Lineage: Eukaryota; Viridiplantae; Streptophyta; Magnoliopsida; Poales; Poaceae. The record is from RNAcentral.